RNAcentral lists this ribosomal RNA (1327 nucleotides) under metagenome. RNAcentral's name for it is "SSU rRNA". It matches the Rfam family "Eukaryotic small subunit ribosomal RNA", at positions 1 to 1367 of the family's 1831-position model. The record is from RNAcentral.
UCUGGUUGAUCAUGCCAGUAAUAUAUGCUUGUCUCAAAGAUUAAUCCAUGCAUGUCUAAGUAUAAAUAGUAUACCUUAAAACUGCAAAUGGCUCAUUAAAACAGUUAUAGUUUAUUUGAUAAUCAAACGCUACAUGGAUAACCGUGGUAAUUCUAGAGCUAAUACAUGCUGAUAACAUGGCGCAAGUCAUGUUGUAUUUAUUAGAUAUUAAACCAAUAUGUUAAUAGCAUUUUGAAGGAAUUACAGUAACUGAUCGAAUCCCCACUUGUUGAGGAUAAAUCAUUCAAGUUUCUGCCCUAUCAGCUUUCGAUGGUAGUGUAUUGGACUACCAUGGCGAUUACGGGUAACGGAGAAUUAGUGUUCGAUUCCGGAGAGGGAGCCUGAGAAACGGCUACCACAUCUAAGGAAGGCAGCAGGAACAUAAAUUACCCAAUGUCGACUCGAUGAGCGUAGUGACAAUACAUAACAAAGAGGGGAUUUAUUAUCUUACUCUAUUGCAAUGAGGCAUGUUUAAUAACCUGUUCGAGCAACCAGUGAAGGGCAAGUCUGGUGCCAGCAGCCGCGGUAAUUCCAGCUUCACGAGUGUAUAUUUAAGUUGUUGCAGUUAAAAAGCUCGUAGUUGAAAAUCUGUUCGUUCAGAAGGUGUUCAUAGCAUUUUCUGGAUGAGCAUCCGCCUGAAAAAUCAUUCGGGUCUUCACUGAUUCAGUGAUGGAUCAGGCAUUUUACUUUGAAAAAAUUAGAGUGUUCAAAGCAGGCUCACGCCUGAGUACAUUAGCAUGGAAUAAUAGAAUAGGACGCUGUUCAAUUUGUUGGUUAUUGAAUUGCGUAAUGAUUAAUAGGGACAGUUGGGGGCAUUUGUAUUUAAUUGUCAGAGGUGAAAUUCUUGGAUUUAUUAAAGACAAACUUAUGCGAAAGCAUUUGCCAAGGAUGUUUUCAUUAAUCAAGAACGAAAGUUAGAGGAUCAAAGACGAUCAGAUACCGUCCUAGUUUUAGCUAUAAACUAUGCCGACUCGGUCUCCGUCGAGUAAUUUUAACUCGAUGGGUGCCGUAUGAGAAAUCAAAGUCUUUGGGUUCCGGGGGGAGUAUGGUCGCAAGGUUGAAACUUAAAGGAAUAGACGGAACGUCACUACCAGGUGUGGAUCCUGCGGCUUAAUUUGACCCAACACGGGGAAACUUACCAGCGCAAAACAAGGGUGGGAUUGACAGAUUGAGAGCUUUUUCUUGAUUCUUUGGAUAGUGGUGCAUGGCCGUUCUUAGUUGGUGGAGUGAUUUGUCUGCUUAAUUGCGUUAACGAACGAGACCUCAACCUACUUACUAGACAUACGAU